RNAcentral lists this ribosomal RNA (384 nucleotides) under Amylostereum chailletii. RNAcentral's name for it is "partial small subunit ribosomal RNA". It matches the Rfam family "Bacterial small subunit ribosomal RNA", at positions 470 to 872 of the family's 1533-position model. The record is from RNAcentral. Lineage: Eukaryota; Fungi; Basidiomycota; Agaricomycetes; Russulales; Stereaceae.
UGACUUACCUUACUAUUAGUGUCGUCCAAAUCUGGUGCCAGAAGACUCGGUAAGGCCAGAGACGCAAACGUUAAUCGUCUUAAACAGGCGUAAAGGGUUUGUAGGCAGCUUUGAAUUUUCUCUUUUCCAAGUAAUUAGAUAAUUAAUCAAAGCUAGAAUCAAAUAGAGGUUAUAUUAUAUAAUGCUUAAAGUAGGUCUAAUAUCCUAACAGAUUAAGUGGAAUAUUAAAAGCGAAGGCUUAUUUACCAUAAAUGAUUGACGCUGAGAAACGAAGGUGAGGAUAGGAAAUAGGAUUAGAUACCCAAAAUACCCCUCUCUGUCAACGAUGAAUGGUGGUUGCUAAUUAUAAAAUUAGUAGCUAUGUUAACACGAUAACCAUUCCGC